RNAcentral lists this non-coding RNA (69 nucleotides) under human gut metagenome. Its description in RNAcentral is "pemK RNA". It matches the Rfam family "pemK RNA". The record is from RNAcentral.
UAAUGAUACUUCCGUCCCGUUUCUGCGGGGCGGCUCGCGGAGAUCCCGGGAGUGGUGAGAUUCCAAUGA